Non-coding RNA from Phrynosoma platyrhinos (Desert horned lizard), 72 nucleotides. The record is from the annotation of a GenBank genome assembly. NCBI's taxonomy places the organism in Eukaryota, Metazoa, Chordata, Lepidosauria, Squamata, Phrynosomatidae.
GUCAGCAUGGUGUAGUGGUUUGAGUGCUGGACUAUGAUUCUGGAGGCUAGGGUUCGAAUCUCCACUUGGCCA